This is a long non-coding RNA of Sinocyclocheilus grahami, 417 nucleotides long. RefSeq lists it as uncharacterized. The record is from RefSeq and is a predicted model, not a curated record. The transcript has 3 exons. Lineage: Eukaryota; Metazoa; Chordata; Actinopteri; Cypriniformes; Cyprinidae.
CUGGUGUGUUUCGUUGUGUGCUGCAGGAGCAAAGGCAGCUGACCCAUGAGAACGUCCAGAGGAAGCAGGCGCGCACAGGAGAGGAGCGUGACGAGGAGGAUGAAGAGCAGCCCAGCGAGAGUGAGAGUGAAGACGAAGAUAAUGAGAUCAUAUACAACCCCAAAAACCUAACACUCGGCUGGGACGGAAAGCCAAUUCCAUACUGGCUGUACAAGCUGCACGGCCUGAACAUCAAUUACAACUGUGAGAUCUGUGGAAAUUACACGUACAGAGGACCCAAAACCUUCUAGAGACACUUUGCAGAGUGGCGUCACGCUCACGGCAUGCACUGUUUGGGCAUUCCUAACACAGCCCACUUCGCCAACGUCACCCAGAUUGAGGACGCAGUGUCCCGUUAGUACAAUAAUUCAUCACAGA